GACGAACGCUGGCGGCGUGCCUAAUACAUGCAAGUAGAACGCUGAAGGAGGAGCUUGCUCUUCUGGAUGAGUUGCGAACGGGUGAGUAACGCGUAGGUAACCUGCCUGGUAGCGGGGGAUAACUAUUGGAAACGAUAGCUAAUACCGCAUAAUAGUAGAUGUUGCAUGACAUUUGCUUAAAAGGUGCAAUUGCAUCACUACCAGAUGGACCUGCGUUGUAUUAGCUAGUUGGUGGGGUAACGGCUCACCAAGGCGACGAUACAUAGCCGACCUGAGAGGGUGAUGCCACACUGGGACUGAGACACGGCCCAGACUCCUACGGGAGGCAGCAGUAGGGAAUCUUCGGCAAUGGACAGAAGUCUGACCGAGCAACGCCGCGUGAGUGAAGAAGGUUUUCGGAUCGUAAAGCUCUGUUGUAAGAGAAGAACGAGUGUGAGAGUGGA
RNAcentral lists this ribosomal RNA (443 nucleotides) under Streptococcus sp. oral taxon 064. RNAcentral describes it as "bacterial SSU rRNA". It matches the Rfam family "Bacterial small subunit ribosomal RNA", at positions 28 to 465 of the family's 1533-position model. The record is from RNAcentral. Lineage: Bacteria; Bacillati; Bacillota; Bacilli; Lactobacillales; Streptococcaceae.